Molecule: long non-coding RNA, 692 nt
Filed under: Homo sapiens (human)
Lineage: Eukaryota; Metazoa; Chordata; Mammalia; Primates; Hominidae
Description: HSALNT0394188
Source: RNAcentral
CCGGAUCGCGGUUGCCCAGCGCGCUGUGCCCUGCCGGGGGCGGGCCACGUUUGAUCUCCGGGCCCGCAGCAAGGGAUCGCGAAGGUAUUGAUCUAGGCGCUGCUGUGAAGGGAAUUUGCAGAUGUAAUUGGCCUAAAUCAGUUGGCUUUAAUAUCAGGAAAUUGUCCUCAGUGGGCAUGGCCAUAUGGAGCCCUUACAAGGGACUGGGCUCUUCCUGGUGAAAAAGAUUUGAAUCACGAGAGUGGCUGAUAUGAGGGAAAUUCUUUGCUGUUGCCUUCGAAGACAGAAGAGGUCCACAAGGCAAAGGAUGCAGACAGCCUGUAGGAGCUGAGACUGGCUCCUGGCUGACAGCCAGCAAGGAAAUGAGGACCUCAGUCCUCCAAUCAUGAAGCAGACUCCGACUUCUGCUAACAACCUGAAUACACUUCAAAGAGGAUUCUGAGCUCCAGCCGCCUACACAUUGAUUUCAGCUGUUGGGACCCUCAGCCGAGAACCCAGCUAUGCCGUGCCCAGAUGUAAGACCUACACAUCUGUGAGCUUGAUGCUUCCUGCCCUCAAACAUUGGACUCCCAGUUCUACAGUUUUGAGACUGGGACUGGCUCUCCUUGUUCCUCAAGCUUGCAGACAGCCUAUUGUGGGAUCUUGUGAUCGUACUCUCUGUGGCCCAGGCUGGAGUGCACUGGUGCCAUCUC